UAGUAAGUCACUGGGCCAUGAGUUUAACUCUUCAUAGGUAUUUCACUCCGAUAAAAUAAUGGACAUAAGGGUGUUGCACACUUGUGAUAACCUUGAAAUCCCAAAUGAUGUGAUUCAUAUAAUCACGAUGCAAUAGCAGGCACGAUUACAAUUAAUUGAUGGAAAAGGUGGCAGCUCUUGAAUUGCCAAAGACUAAUUUAACCAUCAGAAGAGAGGCUUAUAUUUUUUCGUGAUGCUAUUCAGGAUAUGAGUUGCGCUUGAUAUGCAUACAGAAUUCCAUUAAAAUCUAAGGGGUGACCAAGCAUGCCCCAACUGAAAUAGUAAAGGUAGAGCAUUGCCGUUUCUUCUUAAAUUUAAAAAGUCAAAAAAAAAAAAAAAAAGUA
Long non-coding RNA from Juglans microcarpa x Juglans regia, 383 nucleotides. RefSeq lists it as uncharacterized. The transcript has 2 exons. The record is from RefSeq and is a predicted model, not a curated record. Lineage: Eukaryota; Viridiplantae; Streptophyta; Magnoliopsida; Fagales; Juglandaceae.